CAAAACAUUGCCACGCAACAGCGCAUCAUCGAACCAAUUCGAAAAGAUCAAAUUUCUACGCAUCAAAUAUAAGCUUGGUCGCCUGUCUGAAGGACGUCCUGACGUUUUCUCACUGUUAUAGAUAGUAGCGUGCUAACAAGAAUUAAAUAAAAAUGACUACGAAUCUUGGAGCGAGUUUCGAGGGGGAUCAAAAUGAAAAUG
This is a non-coding RNA of Paramuricea clavata, 201 nucleotides long. The record is from the annotation of a GenBank genome assembly. NCBI's taxonomy places the organism in Eukaryota, Metazoa, Cnidaria, Anthozoa, Malacalcyonacea, Plexauridae.